UACUCGAGUGGCGAACGGGUGAGUAACACGUGGGUGAUCUGCCCUGCACUUCGGGAUAAGCCUGGGAAACUGGGUCUAAUACCGGAUAGGACCACAUUUUGGAUGGUGUGGUGGAAAGUUUUUCGGUGUGGGAUGAGCUCGCGGCCUAUCAGCUUGUUGGUGGGGUAAUGGCCUACCAAGGCGUCGACGGGUAGCCGGCCUGAGAGGGUGUACGGCCACAUUGGGACUGAGAUACGGCCCAG
This 242-nucleotide ribosomal RNA is filed under the name uncultured Actinomycetales bacterium. RNAcentral describes it as "partial 16S ribosomal RNA". It matches the Rfam family "Bacterial small subunit ribosomal RNA", at positions 88 to 334 of the family's 1533-position model. Lineage: Bacteria; Bacillati; Actinomycetota; Actinomycetes; Actinomycetales. The record is from RNAcentral.